AGUGAACGCUGGCGGUAGGCCUAACACAUGCAAGUCGAACGGCAGCACAGUAAGAGCUUGCUCUUACGGGUGGCGAGUGGCGGACGGGUGAGGAAUACAUCGGAAUCUACUUUUUCGUGGGGGAUAACGUAGGGAAACUUACGCUAAUACCGCAUACGACCUACGGGUGAAGGCAGGGGAUCUUCGGACCUUGCGCGAUUGAAUGAGCCGAUGUCGGAUUAGCUAGUUGGCGGGGUAAAGGCCCACCAAGGCGACGAUCCGUAGCUGGUCUGAGAGGAUGAUCAGCAACACUGGAACUGAGACACGGUCCAGACUCCUACGGGAGGCAGCAGUGGGGAAUAUUGGACAAAGGGCGCAAGCCUGAUCCAGCCAUACCGCGUGGGUGAAGAAGGCCUUCGGGUUGUAAAGCCCUUUUGUUGGGAAAGAAAAGCAGCAGGUUAAUACCCCGCUGUUCUGACGGUACCCAAAGAAUAAGCACCGGCUAACUUCGUG
This 492-nucleotide ribosomal RNA is filed under the name uncultured bacterium. RNAcentral's name for it is "partial 16S ribosomal RNA". It matches the Rfam family "Bacterial small subunit ribosomal RNA", at positions 29 to 507 of the family's 1533-position model. The record is from RNAcentral.